AGUGAACGCUGGCGGUAGGCCUAACACAUGCAAGUCGAACGGCAGCACAGUAAGAGCUUGCUCUUACGGGUGGCGAGUGGCGGACGGGUGAGGAAUACAUCGGAAUCUACUUUUUCGUGGGGGAUAACGUAGGGAAACUUACGCUAAUACCGCAUACGACCUACGGGUGAAAGCAGGGGAUCUUCGGACCUUGCGCGAUUGAAUGAGCCGAUGUCGGAUUAGCUAGUUGGCGGGGUAAAGGCCCACCAAGGCGAAGAUCCGUAGCUGGUCUGAGAGGAUGAUCAGCCACACUGGAACUGAGACACGGUCCAGACUCCUACGGGAGGCAGCAGUGGGGAAUAUUGGACAAUGGGCGCAGGCCUGAUCCAGCCAUACCGCGUGGGUGAAGAAGGCCUUCGGGUUGUAAAGCCCUUUUGUUGGGAAAGAAAAGCAGCAGGUUAAUACCCCGCUGUUCUGACGGUACCCAAAGAAUAAGCACCGGCUAACUUCGUG
Molecule: ribosomal RNA, 492 nt
Filed under: uncultured bacterium
Lineage: Bacteria
Description: partial 16S ribosomal RNA
Rfam family: Bacterial small subunit ribosomal RNA
Source: RNAcentral